Molecule: transfer RNA, 74 nt
Filed under: Ignavibacteria bacterium
Lineage: Bacteria; Pseudomonadati; Ignavibacteriota; Ignavibacteria
Description: tRNA-Pro
Rfam family: tRNA
About the family: Transfer RNA (tRNA) molecules are approximately 80 nucleotides in length.
Source: RNAcentral
CGGGUUGUAGUAUAGUGGCAGUACGCGUGCAUGGGGUGCAUGUAGCCGCGGUUCGAUUCCGCGCAGCCCGACCA